Molecule: transfer RNA, 68 nt
Filed under: Curimata mivartii
Lineage: Eukaryota; Metazoa; Chordata; Actinopteri; Characiformes; Curimatidae
Description: tRNA-His
Rfam family: tRNA
About the family: Transfer RNA (tRNA) molecules are approximately 80 nucleotides in length. Their secondary structure includes four short double-helical elements and three loops (D, anti-codon, and T loops). Further hydrogen bonds mediate the characteristic L-shaped molecular structure. tRNAs have two regions of fundamental functional importance: the anti-codon, which is responsible for specific mRNA codon recognition, and the 3' end, to which the tRNAs corresponding amino acid is attached (by aminoacyl-tRNA synthetases). tRNAs cope with the degeneracy of the genetic code in two manners: having more than one tRNA (with a specific anti-codon) for a particular amino acid; and 'wobble' base-pairing, i.e. permitting non-standard base-pairing at the 3rd anti-codon position.
Source: RNAcentral
GUAAAUAUAGUUUAAGCAAAACACUAGAUUGUGGUUCUAAAGAUAGGGGUUAAAGUCCCCUUAUUCAC